This 230-nucleotide ribosomal RNA is filed under the name uncultured bacterium. RNAcentral's name for it is "partial 16S ribosomal RNA". It matches the Rfam family "Bacterial small subunit ribosomal RNA", at positions 524 to 752 of the family's 1533-position model. The record is from RNAcentral.
UACGAAGGGGGCUAGCGUUGCUCGGAAUCACUGGGCGUAAAGCGCACGUAGGCGGACUCUUAAGUCGGUGGUGAAAUCCUGGAGCUCAACUCCAGAACUGCCUUCGAUACUGAGAGUCUUGAGUCCGGGAGAGGUGAGUGGAACUGCGAGUGUAGAGGUGAAAUUCGUAGAUAUUCGCAAGAACACCAGUGGCGAAGGCGGCUCACUGGCCCGGUACUGACGCUGGAGGU